GACGAACGCUGGCGGCGUGCCUAAUACAUGCAAGUUGAGCGCUGAAGGUUGGUACUUGUACCAACUGGAUGAGCAGCGCACGGGUGAGUAACGCGUGGGGAAUCUGCCUUUGAGCGGGGGACAACAUUUGGAAACGAAUGCUAAUACCGCAUAAAAACUUUAAACACAAGUUUUAAGUUUGAAAGAUGCAAUUGCAUCACUCAAAGAUGAUCCCGCGUUGUAUUAGCUAGUUGGUGAGGUAAAGGCUCACCAAGGCGAUGAUACAUAGCCGACCUGAGAGGGUGAUCGGCCACAUUGGGACGGAGACACGGCCCAAACGCCUACGGGAGGCAGCAGUAGGGAAUCUUCGGCAAUGGACGAAAGUCUGACCGAGCAACGCCGCGUGAGUGAAGAAGGUUGUCGGAUCGUAAAACUCUGUUGGUAGAGAAGAACGUUGGUGAGAGUGGAAAGCUCAUCAAGUGACGGUAACUACCCAGAAAGGGACGGCUAACUACGUG
RNAcentral lists this ribosomal RNA (497 nucleotides) under uncultured bacterium. Its description in RNAcentral is "partial 16S ribosomal RNA". It matches the Rfam family "Bacterial small subunit ribosomal RNA", at positions 28 to 507 of the family's 1533-position model. The record is from RNAcentral.